This 301-nucleotide ribosomal RNA is filed under the name uncultured bacterium. RNAcentral's name for it is "partial 16S ribosomal RNA". It matches the Rfam family "Bacterial small subunit ribosomal RNA", at positions 509 to 807 of the family's 1533-position model. The record is from RNAcentral.
CAGUCGCCACGGUAAUACGUAGGGUGCGAGCGUUAAUCGGAAUUACUGGGCGUAAAGCGUGCGCAGGCGGUUUUGUAAGACAGGCGUGAAAUCCCCGGGCUCAACCUGGGAAUGGCGCUUGUGACUGCAAAGCUAGAGUGCGGCAGAGGGGGAUGGAAUUCCGCGUGUAGCAGUGAAAUGCGUAGAUAUGCGGAGGAACACCGAUGGCGAAGGCAAUCCCCUGGGCCUGCACUGACGCUCAUGCACGAAAGCGUGGGGAGCAAACAGGAUUAGAUACCCCUGUAGUCCCUGUCUCUUAUAC